RNAcentral lists this ribosomal RNA (402 nucleotides) under uncultured bacterium. RNAcentral's name for it is "bacterial SSU rRNA". It matches the Rfam family "Bacterial small subunit ribosomal RNA", at positions 355 to 774 of the family's 1533-position model. The record is from RNAcentral.
UGGGGAAUCUUGCACAAUGGGGGCAACCCUGAUGCAGCGACGCCGCGUGAGCGAUGAAGCCCUUCGGGGCGUAAAGCUCUUUCGACCGGAACGAUAAUGACGGUACCGGGAGAAGAAGCUGCGGCUAACUACGUGCCAGCAGCCGCGGUAAUACGUAGGCAGCAAGCGUUGUUCGGAGUUACUGGGCGUAAAGAGUGCGUAGGCGGUUUUCUAAGUUCGGUGUGAAAUCUCCCGGCUUAACUGGGAGGGUGCGCCGAAGACUGGGACGCUGGAGUGUGGGAAAGGCAGGCGGAAUUCCUGGUGUGGCGGUGAAAUGCGUAGAUAUCAGGAGGAACGCCGGCGGUGUAGACGGCUUGCUAGACCAUAACUGACGCUGAGGCACGAAAGCGUGGGUAGCAAACA